CCUACGGGUGGCAGCAGUGAGGAAUAUUGGUCAAUGGCCGGGAGGCUGAACCAGCCAAGUCGCGUGAGGGAAGACGGCCCUACGGGUUGUAAACCUCUUUUGUCAGGGAGCAAGGUGCAGGGCGGGACCGGCUGUGAGAGUACCUGAAGAAAAAGCAUCGGCUAACUCCGUGCCAGCAGCCGCGGUAAUACGGAGGAUGCGAGCGUUAUACGGAUUUAUUGGGGUUAAAGGGUGCGCAGGCCGGUCUUUAAGCGUGCCGUGAAAUUUUGUGGCUCACCCAUGAGAGUGCGGCGCGAACUGGAGACCUUGAGUGCGCGGCAGGCAGGCGGAAUUCGUGGUGUAGCGGUGAAAUGCUUAGAUAUCACGAAGAACCCCGAUUGCGAAGGCAGCCUGCCGCAGCGUUACUGACGCUGAAGCUCGACAGCGCGGGUAUCGAACAGGAUUAGAUACCCGGGUAGUC
RNAcentral lists this ribosomal RNA (460 nucleotides) under uncultured bacterium. RNAcentral's name for it is "partial 16S ribosomal RNA". It matches the Rfam family "Bacterial small subunit ribosomal RNA", at positions 338 to 795 of the family's 1533-position model. The record is from RNAcentral.